AGGGCGUGAAACCGCUUAGAAUAAAACGGACGGAGCUGUCUAAGGCCUUUGGGAAUCAGUCAUGCGAUUUCGCGAAAAUGCUAGUGUCAGAACGAAAGUCUGACUCUGGUGUUAGUAGUAGCAAUCGUUUGGCGCAUUUCCUGAGGGUGAGCACUGCGACCGGUACGGAAGGCCAGUGAAGCGAUUCGAUUGAGGUCGAAUCCCGCAAGGGAAUCGUAACCAGUCUUUUCGCCUGAGUCGCUGGACCGCCUAGAAGGUACCGAGAGCCGUUGAAAGCGUAUUGGCGAAAGCGCUCACCGAGUGAUGGAUAGUCGGUCGAUGGGCUGGUUCUUGCGUGCAGGGACUGGCUUAUUCGGUAGACUUUGAAGUUACCGGUGACAUUCCAAUGCGCGGGCGUCAGCAGCUGUCAGUGUCGGCCACCCGUCCGACCCGUCUUAGAAACACGGACCAAGGAGUCUAACAUAUGCGCGAGCUAAUGGGUGGAAAACCCAAAGGCGCAAUAAAAGUAAAGGCUGUUUUAGAACGGCUUAGAUAUGAUCCUGGAGUCCUAGCGGCUCCAGGCGCAAUAUCGUCCCGUCUCAACCGCAUAUCGGUAGGGCGGAGACAGAGUGCAUAUGUUGCGACCCGAAAGAUGGUGAACUAUGCCUGAGUAGAGUGAAGCCAGAGCAAACUCUGGUGCAAGUUCGUAGCGGUUCUGACGUGCAAAUCGAUCGUCAAACUUGGGUAUAGAGGCAAAAGACUAAUCGAACCAUCUAGUAGCUGGUUCCUANCAGAAAACUUUCCCUCAC
Molecule: ribosomal RNA, 788 nt
Filed under: Discolaimoides symmetricus
Lineage: Eukaryota; Metazoa; Nematoda; Enoplea; Dorylaimida; Qudsianematidae
Description: partial large subunit ribosomal RNA
Rfam family: Eukaryotic large subunit ribosomal RNA
Source: RNAcentral